RNAcentral lists this long non-coding RNA (1225 nucleotides) under Rattus norvegicus (Norway rat). RNAcentral's name for it is "long non-coding RNA NONRATT000955". The record is from RNAcentral. Lineage: Eukaryota; Metazoa; Chordata; Mammalia; Rodentia; Muridae.
UUUUUAAUUUUUCAUAUGUGUAGAAUUUGAGGGGUAGAUUUUGUGGUGGUUUGUUUGUUUGCUACCAAGGACUGAACCUAAAACUUAGUGUAUGUUGGCUGAUUAGGUGUCUGCCAACCACCCUCUGUUCCCCAGAAAUUAUCCUCACCUCCUGAAUUAUGUCACAUUACCCAUCUAUAUGAAACAGACUUUCCCAAUGACUCAUUUAAAUUCAAACAUCUCUUGGGUUGUGUGUGUAUGUCUGUGUGUGUGUACCAUAAUACAUAGUACCAUCUCAUAGUUGGGGAUUGAAACCUCCUAACCAGAACUAAAAAAAGGUUAUUCACAUUUGUUUUGCUUGCCUCCUUUUGUUGUUAUCUAGUCUUCACAUUUCCCUCUUCCUUUUUUCCUCUUUGUUUGUGUAUGUGUAUGAGUUACAUAUGUAUUCAUAUGGUGGCCAAACAUCACCUUUGGGUGUCUUCCUCAUUCAUUCUGUAUCUUACUUUUUGAAACAGAGUCUCUCCUCUCCCCCCUCCUCCAACCCACCUGUUUCUGUCCCCUUUUCUUCCCCUUCCCCUUUUCACUCCCCAGACUUGCAAGAAUCACCUUGACCCUCCCAAGUGCUAGACAUAAAAUGAGCAUGUACUCAUGCCAUAUUUGAUGUGAUGCUGGAUAUUAAACUAGGCAAGCACUUUUCCAACUCAUCCCCAGCUAUCCGUGCCAUACUUCUGACUAGCCUGAUCUGAUCUCAGCAGAUUCUUGGGGCCAACAAAUCCUGCUCAUACUAGCUAGGUUUAAAUAGCCACCACAUACUUUGCUGGCUCACCAUAGGAAGAAAGAAAUAGGAUGAAAAUGUUUGAGAACUAAAUCAGAACCAUAGCUGCUUUUGGGUCAACAAGGGACAGAGUCUCAAUUCAUUGGGGCUAUGGGGAAAGGAGAAAACAACCCAUGUGCUUUGGUCCUGCUGAGUCUGCCUCUUAACUACUUCUAUAAAACUCACAGCACAGGGCAGAGGUGGAAUUCGGAACCAGAUGACUUAAGGGGUUUCCUUAGUAAAGGUGUAGCAUGGACUCUUUUUUAAAAGAGAGUAGAUUUUCACUCAUGUAAAGCAUUUGAAUGAGACAUUUGGUAAUGGUUGUAAAGCCGUUCUGUUUUAAUACUUACCUUUACCCCCUCAAGUCUAGAUGCUCUGUUUAAAAAAAAAAAAGUUGGAAGUCAUUUGACUAAAUAAAAUGUUUUGUCACAG